UGGCGAACGGGUGAGUAAUACGUGAGUAACCUACCUUUAACUCUGGGAUAAGCCUGGGAAACUGGGUCUAAUACCGGAUACGACCAAUCUCCGCAUGGAGUGUUGGUGGAAAGCGUUAUGUAGUGGUUAUAGAUGGGCUCACGGCCUAUCAGCUUGUUGGUGAGGUAACGGCUCACCAAGGCGACGACGGGUAGCCGGCCUGAGAGGGUGACCGGCCACACUGGGACUGAGACACGGCCCAG
This 242-nucleotide ribosomal RNA is filed under the name uncultured Actinomycetales bacterium. Its description in RNAcentral is "partial 16S ribosomal RNA". It matches the Rfam family "Bacterial small subunit ribosomal RNA", at positions 96 to 334 of the family's 1533-position model. Lineage: Bacteria; Bacillati; Actinomycetota; Actinomycetes; Actinomycetales. The record is from RNAcentral.